RNAcentral lists this ribosomal RNA (445 nucleotides) under uncultured bacterium. Its description in RNAcentral is "bacterial SSU rRNA". It matches the Rfam family "Bacterial small subunit ribosomal RNA", at positions 97 to 520 of the family's 1533-position model. The record is from RNAcentral.
GGCGAACGGGUGAGUAACACGUGGGUGAUCUGCCUGGGAGCGGGGGAUAACCUGGGGAAACUCGGGCUAAUACCGCAUACGUUGGUGGGGUUGCGGCUCCACCAAGAAAGCUGGCCUCUACUUGUAAGCUAGCACUCCCAGAGGAGCCCGCGGCUGAUUAGCUAGUUGGUGGGGUAAUGGCCCACCAAGGCUACGAUCAGUAGCCGGCCUGAGAGGGUGAUCGGCCACACUGGGACUGAGACACGGUCCAGACUCCAUACGGGAGGCAGCAGUGGGGAAUAUUGGACAAUGGGCGCAAGCCUGAUCCAGCAACGCCGCGUGGAGGACGAAGGUCUUCGGAUCGUAAACUCCUGUCAGGUGGGACGAACGGGCGGCGGCAAAUAGCCGCUGUCCUUGACGGUACCGCCAGAGGAAGCCCCGGUUAACUCCGUGCCAGCCGCCGCGG